Molecule: transfer RNA, 29 nt
Filed under: Phaethornis bourcieri (straight-billed hermit)
Lineage: Eukaryota; Metazoa; Chordata; Aves; Apodiformes; Trochilidae
Description: partial tRNA-Leu
Source: RNAcentral
CUUUUAAAGGAUAACAGCUAAUCCACUGG